Molecule: ribosomal RNA, 200 nt
Filed under: uncultured bacterium
Lineage: Bacteria
Description: partial 16S ribosomal RNA
Rfam family: Bacterial small subunit ribosomal RNA
Source: RNAcentral
AGAGUUUGAUCCUGGCUCAGGACGAACGCUGGCGGCGUGCCUAAUACAUGCAAGUCGAGCGAAUCUUUGGAGUGCUCCUGAGAUUAGCGGCGGACGGGUGAGUAACACGUGGGCAACCUGCCUGUAAGACUGGGAUAACUUCGGGAAACCGGAGCUAAUACCGGAUAAUUCUUUUCCUCACAUGAGGAAAAGCUGAAAGA